AGGAGAGUUUGAUCCUGGCUCAGGACGAACGCUGGCGGCGUGCUUAACACAUGCAAGUCGAACGGACGGACACCCUUCUGGGUGCUAGUUAGUGGCGGACGGGUGAGUAACGCGUGAGUAACCUGCCUUGGAGUGGGGAAUAACACAGGGAAACUUGUGCUAAUACCGCAUAACAUCAUGAGAUGGCAUCUUCUUAUGAUCAAAGAUUUAUUGCUCCAAGAUGGGCUCGCGUCCGAUUACAUAGUUGGCGGGGUAAUAGCCCACCAAGUCGACGAUCGGUAGCCGGACUGAGAGGUUGGCCGGCCACAUUGGGACUGAGACACAGCCCAGACUCCUACGGGAGGCAGCAGUGGGGAAUAUUAGGCAAUGGGGGAAACCCUGACCUAGCGACGCCGCGUGAAGGAUGAAGGUUUUCGGAUUGUAAACUUCUUUGGCAGGGGACGAUAAUGACGGUACCCUGAGAACAAGCCACGGCUAACUACGUGCCAGCAGCCGCGGUAAUACGUAGGUGGCGAGCGUUGUCCGGAUUUACUGGGUGUAAAGGGCGAGUAGGCGGGUUAACAAGUCAGAUGUGAAAUACCGAGGCUCAACUUCGGGGCUGCAUUUGAAACUGUUUGUCUUGAGUGAUGGAGAGGCAGGCGGAAUUCCCAGUGUAGCGGUAAAAUGCAUAGAGAUUGGGAGGAACACCAGUGGCGAAGGCGGCCUGCUGGACAUCAACUGACGCUGAGGAGCGAAAGUGUGGGGAGCAAACAGGAUUAGAUACCCUGGUAGUCCCCU
This 777-nucleotide ribosomal RNA is filed under the name uncultured Bacillota bacterium. RNAcentral's name for it is "bacterial SSU rRNA". It matches the Rfam family "Bacterial small subunit ribosomal RNA", at positions 1 to 799 of the family's 1533-position model. The record is from RNAcentral. Lineage: Bacteria; Bacillati; Bacillota.